This 983-nucleotide long non-coding RNA is filed under the name Numida meleagris (helmeted guineafowl). RNAcentral describes it as "lncRNA (ENSNMEG00000017192.1)". The record is from RNAcentral. Lineage: Eukaryota; Metazoa; Chordata; Aves; Galliformes; Numididae.
UUGGAAGGUUUGCUAUUUAGGGAUAAUACUUAAACUAUCCUAUUUUACGGCUCAUUUGCUAGAAAAUGCCUGUGAAGCAAACAGCUUUAUCAAACCUUAUCAAUGAGUAAAGGAUGUCAAAGGAGGGUGUUUCUGCUAUCUGGUGUUAAAUGUGGCUGCUGCUAAGUCUUCUAAUUUUUACUAACUUCUGUUAAUUAAACACUCUUCCAUGAGUGUUUGGUGAUAACAAGCUGCUAAAACACUCUUGAAAACCAGCACAGAGACCCACCACAGGGCCAGAGGAUUUCCAUCUCUUCCUGUUAAGGCUGCUUAUAGGCUGGGGUAAUUUAGGGUGGCUGCAGUGGGUGGGGGGAGGGAUGGAUGACCCCUCCUUGUGCCACCCUGUAGAGCUCUGAUCAACUCCAGGUGACUUAGUCCUAGCCACAGCUGAAGCAAUCCCAUUAAGAAAGCUCAGGUGCGGUAUCCUAUUUAACACUUAAUCUAAUUAUCAGGAUUUGGUUUCCCUUUCUAAAGAUCCCAGGUUAUAUAUUCCUUCUGGAUUCUCAUGGUGAAGCUCUUCUUUCUUCUGGAAGUAUGAAGGUACCUUUGCUCUUGUUCUUUCUCCUUGCUGAGCUUCAGGGCAGGAGAGCAGGGGUCUUUGGGACCAGCUGAAAUCCAGCACUGAUGUUGCAGUGGAUGCACCUGGGCUCUAAGAUGGCUGCUCCUGGAUCUCUUCAAGUCUCAUGGCCCUGUGACGACUGUGUAAUGAUGGAGAAAGCAGCAAUCCCAAUGACUCUUCCAUUACACAAUGAAGUCAGUCUCCAAUGGCUGAAGUGAGUUUGGGGUAUGGGUUUGUGAAUUCUCUAAAGCAUUCAAAGCACAGAGAAUUACUUUAAAUGUGACUCACCCUACUUGAAUUUCUCCUUAAUCCAGUCUUCCUAGAUACUUGCACUCCUUUUCCUAACACUUUUUGGGAGUCAGCCUGGUUUUAAGGAGUAGUAUGC